Molecule: ribosomal RNA, 501 nt
Filed under: uncultured bacterium
Lineage: Bacteria
Description: partial 16S ribosomal RNA
Rfam family: Bacterial small subunit ribosomal RNA
Source: RNAcentral
AUUGAACGCUGGCGGCAGGCUUAACACAUGCAAGUCGAGCGGAGAUGAGGUGCUUGCACCUUAUCUUAGCGGCGGACGGGUGAGUAAUGCUUAGGAAUCUGCCUAUUAGUGGGGGACAACAUUCCGAAAGGAAUGCUAAUACCGCAUACGUCCUACGGGAGAAAGCAGGGGAUCUUCGGACCUUGCUCUAAUAGAUGAGCCUAAGUCGGAUUAGCUAGUUGGUGGGGUAAAAGCCUACCAAGGCGACGAUCUGUAGCGGGUCUGAGAGGAUGAUCUGCCACACUGGGACUGAGACACGGCCCAGACUCCUACGGGAGGCAGCAGUGGGGAAUAUUGGACAAUGGGGGGAACCCUGAUCCAGCCAUGCCGCGUGUGUGAAGAAGGCCUUAUGGUUGUAAAGCACUUUAAGCGAGGAGGAGGCUACUGAGACUAAUACUCUUGGAUAGUGGACGUUACUCGCAGAAUAAGCACCGGCUAACUCUGUGCCAGCAGCCGCCGUAA